CAUAAUAAGAGAAUUUCAAGAGAACAUUUAAACUUUAAUAAAUGAUUCGAAAGAGAACAUUUAAACCCCCUAAAAGCAACAGGAUCGCAUCCAGGUUACAGUAUUGAAAUUAGAAUCUACCACUAUUAUUACACAACAUCUCUUACCAAAUCAGAUCAUCUUCGAUAAGAAGAAUCACUGUCAACUAUUCCAGCUAUGACUUACACUUGAAUCCCUAUAGCACAGCUCUAGCUUGCACCAACCUCAUCAACUUUCCUGAACACUCCUCGACCACUGGAUCCUCAACUCUGUCUCCUCGCCUAGCAUUAGCCUUAUCCACAAUCUCAAUCAAUCAUCUCAUCUUUUAGCCUUUCUGAAAUGGUUAGAAAGGAAUAGCAAGGGUGAGCAACAAUGCUCAGCAAGUAAUAAUAAACAAUGAUAGUUCUGAAAUGAUAUAACAGAAGAUCACGAGUUCAAGAUAUAAGAGGAUUCAACCUGAGUUCAUGAGUUUCAUGGUAUUGUAUAGAAUGAUUUACAAUACCUUGCAGCAUUUAACUUGAGAAAUUCAAUCUUUCCAAAGAAUUAUUGAAUUGGACUAUCACAUUUUAAUUAAAACCAAGGUUAGGCAGCUGAUCAGUUCCGCACUAACCCCGAGCAGGCCCCGCCAUGCUCUAUCACUGGAUCCAAGGCACUCAUUGGCCUAACAUGACCACGAAUCUGGUCCACAGGUUUAUAUAAAAACAAUAAUCCAAUUCUAUAAUUCAAUAACAGGUCAACGUAUAACAACAGAACAUAAACACAAUCAAUAUCAAUGAUAGAAUAAUUCCAAAUCAAACUUUGAUAAUCAACUUUUCAUAAACCAGAGUCCAUCCUUUCAUAAAUCAUAGUUCAGGAAAUCCUUAACUAUUCAGUAUCCUCCAUUAUCGGCUAAGCAACUGAAUUUAGCCUGCUAAACCAGCAUGACAAUGGCGGGUUGAAUAAUCAAGAAGAUCCCAAGUCAUUCUAGGUUCUAAUCAUCACUGAGCAACACAUGCUUCAAUGACAAUCUGAACUUCGAAUUAAUUUGUAAAACUGGAAUUAUCUGAAUUUUUGAGGAUUAGAAAAGGAUGGAUAAAAAUAUUUGCACUUGCCAAAUAUGAAAAAGAGAGGAACGAAUAUUUGCAACACAUACGAAAAGAAUGAAUCAGAAUAAUCGCAAGAUAUCCAAAAGAAGGGUAUAGGAUACUUGCCUUAAAUCUGACUCCAGUUUCAUAGCUCAACCUCAUCUUUCCACUUUCACAAUCUAUCCAUCUCAUAAUCUCUAGACCAUCUCUAGCUAUACUCUAUUCGCCACAUCGCUUCGCUUACUCGAUUCAUCCCUUAUUCGCUUUUCAAUACCAUUCCGACUUUCUGACGUCUUCGAGCGUAUACGUCUCCUCCAAAUCCUUUACGAGAAUAAGAUAAUACUAUAGUCACUAAAUAAUAUAUCGCAUAUACAUAUCACGUAUACCGAUACCCACUUAUACAACCCUUUAAACUCAUCAAAUAUCACUUAACACAUAAUCAUGCUUUGACUCUACCAUAUAGUCCAAUCAUAUUCCACAUAACAUAUUAUCAAUUAAAUAUCAUAUAAAUCUUAUCGAAAAUCCGACAUCGUCUCGUCUAUUUAUAAGACUAUCCACCUGUUAUCCUAUUUUGUCCAACAACCAAUCAACCAAUUCCAAUUCCUAUAAUCCAUAUGUCCUUAUCCAAUAUUAAUCAAAUCAUGACACUAUGUCAUAUAAGUCAUUUAUCACGUAUAUAAUAUCAGGAAUAGACAUAUAUAUCACGUAAUCAUCAAUUAAUAACAAUCCAAUAACAUAUAAUCACAUUCAGCACAUUUAACAACAAUUAUUCACAUUCUCGACUCCAUCAUAUUAUUAUGUCAUAUCAAACUAGACUUUAUAAGCUUUCAUCUCUCUUUCGUUUCACUUGAUUCCGACUUACGGAUCAAAAGUUAUGACCAAAACCGUUUUCUGACUCCGCUCUCAACAUAUAAUACCUUACACCGAUAGCAGUCAACACAUUACACAUUAAGUCUCCCAUCCCAAUUGAUGUCAAGUCAAGUCUGGGGUUAAAAAAGAUUUUUCGGGAAUUUUCCAGAAUUUUUAAACAUUUUUCGGAAUUAAAACGGAUAAAAGAAUCACUUUUUGAAUAAAUAAUCAAGUCCGGAUAUUCGAAAUUGGACUUGAAAUCAUUCAUAAACAAUUGUCGAGCCUUGAAAAUAAUUUGGAAAAAUAUUUUAAAGCUCGAAACUAUUUUUCGGAAUUUUUAAAUCAAAAAGGAUUAAUUAAAUCCAAUUAAUUAAUCAAUUAAAAUCAAUUAAUAAUUAAUUAAAAUAAUUAAUCAAUUAAUAUUUAAAUUAAUUGACCAAUUAAAAUAAUUAAUUACUAAUUAAAAUUAAUUAAUAAAUCAAAUUAGAUUUAUUUUUGAAUAAAGAAAUAAUUAAAAACUAUUUUUGAAAUUUAAAAUAAUUAAAUAAAACAAUUUUUGAAAAUUAAAAUUAAAAAGGUUUAAAGUGUCAAUGUUUAAAACUUUGUCGCAAGGUUUAAACUGCAACUUUUCAAAGUUACAGGGUUUGAAUCGUUAAAACCGAAACUAUAGUACCCAACCUUCACCAUCUUCAAAAGAUGGGUGGCCAAACGGAAAUUUUCCGCCGGCCACCACCCAACUCGCCGGAAACGACCAUACGAGCCACCACCUUCAUCCAAACUCUCCAGAAUUAAAGUAUAUACAUCCAUAAACUCGUACAAACAAUCACUUUCACCAAACCACACUUGUUUUAGCCGGAUUUUGUCCGGAAAGAGGGGCCGUCGUCGAGUUCUUCAAGAACUCCGGCGAACCCGACCCACGAAUCCCACAUACAAUUUGAACACUGAAAUCGAUUCCUUGCAACCCCUAGAACAUGCCAAUACCCUUCAAUUUUACCCAGACUUCCCCGAUUAAAAAGCCCCAAAAUCGAAUUGAAACAUUCAAGAACACUCAAGAACACCCCUCAAGAAUCAAACCCACUUUUCUAGGUGUUAUGGAACUCAAAAAUCAACAUAUAAUAUACCAAAACGACGAGAAAAACACGUUCUACAACAUGGAAUCAUCCAAACAAUCAAACAAACACGUUUACAAAAAUUCAUCAUUUAAAUCAUAUAAAUUCGAAUUUUGAAAAAUAAAUAUAAAAUCACCUGACAAAUCUGCACAUAAACGGAUGAUUGUACUAGAUUCUACGCGUCGAUAGCUUCGUUUUGACUAUUCAUACGCCUCCAUCGGAUUCAAAUAACACCUUCAAAACCUUGUUUGAUUACGAAGAACACGAAG
This 3309-nucleotide long non-coding RNA is filed under the name Daucus carota (carrot). Its description in RNAcentral is "long non-coding RNA (DCAR_LNC005381)". Lineage: Eukaryota; Viridiplantae; Streptophyta; Magnoliopsida; Apiales; Apiaceae. The record is from RNAcentral.